GAUGAAGAACGCAGUGAAAUGCGAUAAGUAGUGUGAAUUGCAGAAUUCAGUGAAUCAUCGAAUCUUUGAACGCACAUUGCGCCCCCUGGUAUUCCGGGGGGCAUGCCUGUUCGAGCGUCAUUACAACCCUCAAGCUCUGCUUGGUAUUGGGCCCCGCCAGUUCUGGCGGGCCCUAAAGUCAGUGGCGGUGCCUUCCGGCUCCGAGCGUAGUAAUUCUUCUCGCUCUGGAGACCCGGUUGUGUGCUUGCCAACAACCCCCAAUUUUUUAAGGUUGACCUCGGAUCAGGUAGGGAUACCCGCUGAACUUAAGCAUAUCAAUAGCGGAGGA
RNAcentral lists this unclassified non-coding RNA (328 nucleotides) under soil metagenome. Its description in RNAcentral is "partial contains 5.8S ribosomal RNA, internal transcribed spacer 2, and large subunit ribosomal RNA". The stretch from base 1 to 120 matches the Rfam family "5.8S ribosomal RNA", at positions 35 to 154 of the family's 154-position model. The record is from RNAcentral.